UACGGAGGGUGCGAGCGUUGUCUGGAAUCACUGGGCGUAAAGGGCGCGUAGGCGGCCCUGAGAAGCGUGGGGUGAAAGGCCGGGGCUCAACCCCGGCUCGGCCUCGCGGACUCUCGGGCUCGAGCGCAGUAGAGGCGGGUGGAAUUCCGGGUGUAGCGGUGGAAUGACGUAGAGAGUCCGGAAGAACACCGGUGGCGAAGGCGGCCCGCUGGGCUGUGGCUGGACGCUGAAGGCGCGACAGCGUGGGGAGCAAACAGG
Molecule: ribosomal RNA, 258 nt
Filed under: uncultured bacterium
Lineage: Bacteria
Description: partial 16S ribosomal RNA
Rfam family: Bacterial small subunit ribosomal RNA
Source: RNAcentral